RNAcentral lists this ribosomal RNA (216 nucleotides) under Glomeromycotina sp. RNAcentral describes it as "partial small subunit ribosomal RNA". The stretch from base 40 to 216 matches the Rfam family "Eukaryotic small subunit ribosomal RNA", at positions 686 to 864 of the family's 1831-position model. Lineage: Eukaryota; Fungi; Glomeromycota. The record is from RNAcentral.
GGGUCAGUAGGUUGGUCGUGCCACCGGUACGUACUGGUCUCACUGAUUCCUCCUUCCUGAAGAGCCGUAAUGCCAUUAAUUUGGUGUUGCGGGGAAACAGGACUGUUACUUUGAAAAAAUUAGAGUGUUUAAAGCAAGCUAACGCUUGAAUACAUUAGCACGGAAUAAUGAAAUAGGACGAUCGAUCCUAUUUUGUUGGUUUCUAGGAUUGACGUA